AUUGAACGCUGGCGGCAUGCUUUACACAUGCAAGUCGAACGGCAGCGCGGGCUUCGGCCUGGCGGCGAGUGGCGAACGGGUGAGUAAUGCAUCGGAACGUGCCCAGUAGUGGGGGAUAGCCCGGCGAAAGCCGGAUUAAUACCGCAUACGACCUGAGGGGGAAAGCGGGGGACCGAAAGGCCUCGCGCUAUUGGAGCGGCCGAUGUCGGAUUAGCUAGUUGGUGGGGUAAAGGCUUACCAAGGCGACGAUCCGUAGCUGGUCUGAGAGGACGACCAGCCACACUGGGACUGAGACACGGCCCAGACUCCUACGGGAGGCAGCAGUGGGGAAUUUUGGACAAUGGGGGCAACCCUGAUCCAGCCAUGCCGCGUGCGGGAAGAAGGCCUUCGGGUUGUAAACCGCUUUUUUUCGGGAAGAAAUCCUCUGGGCUAAUACCCCGGGGGGAUGACGGUACCGGAAGAAUAAGCACCGGCUAACUACGUG
This 484-nucleotide ribosomal RNA is filed under the name uncultured bacterium. Its description in RNAcentral is "partial 16S ribosomal RNA". It matches the Rfam family "Bacterial small subunit ribosomal RNA", at positions 28 to 507 of the family's 1533-position model. The record is from RNAcentral.